GACGAACGCUGGCGGCGUGCUUAACACAUGCAAGUCGUACGGUAAGGCCCUUUCGGGGGUACACGAGUGGCGAACGGGUGAGUAACACGUGAGUAACCUGCCCACAACUUUGGGAUAACGCUAGGAAACUGGUGCUAAUACUGGAUAUGUGCUCCUGCUGCAUGGUGGGGGUUGGAAAGCUCCGGCGGUUGUGGAUGGACUCGCGGCCUAUCAGCUUGUUGGUGGGGUAGUGGCCUACCAAGGCGGCGACGGGUAGCCGGCCUGAGAGGGUGACCGGCCACAUUGGGACUGAGAUACGGCCCAGACUCCUACGGGAGGCAGCAGGGGGGAAUAUUGCACAAUGGGCGCAAGCCUGAUGCAGCAACGCCGCGGGCGGGAUGACGGGCUUCGGGUUGUAAACCGCUUUCAGCAGGGGCGAAGCUUUUUGUGACGGUACCUGCAGAAGAAGCACCGGCUAACUACGUG
This 465-nucleotide ribosomal RNA is filed under the name uncultured bacterium. RNAcentral's name for it is "partial 16S ribosomal RNA". It matches the Rfam family "Bacterial small subunit ribosomal RNA", at positions 28 to 507 of the family's 1533-position model. The record is from RNAcentral.